UAUUACCUUAAAGCGCCGGGACCCCUUUUGGGGUUGACGAGGUGGAGGUUUAUCGAGGUAUCGGCGGAUGCCUCCCGGCUUUUCGCGGCCGUUAAAGGCGUCGGACAAAACCGAAGAGCAAUCUUCGGGACAAAGGGCGCCGGGCGAAUAA
Molecule: non-coding RNA, 151 nt
Filed under: Carboxydothermus hydrogenoformans
Lineage: Bacteria; Bacillati; Bacillota; Clostridia; Thermoanaerobacterales; Thermoanaerobacteraceae
Also listed under: 1 other name
Description: GlcN6P sequence
Rfam family: glmS glucosamine-6-phosphate activated ribozyme aptamer
About the family: This entry contains a glucosamine-6-phosphate activated ribozyme that is found in the mRNA for GlmS.
Source: RNAcentral